UCUUAACAAGAGUCUUAUUCGAGUGCUGGGUACAGUGGCUCACACCCAUAAUCCCAGCACUUCUGGAGGCUGAAGCGAGUGAACACUUGAGUCCAGGAGUUCAAGACCAGCCUGGGUAACAUGGCAAAACCCCGUCUCUACAAAUAAUAUGAAAAUUAGCCAGGUGUGGUGGCGUGUGCCUAGUUUCAGCUACUCGGGAGGCUGAGGCAGGAGGAUCUCUUGAGAACAGGACGUCAAGGUUGCAGUGAUCACGCCACUGCACUCCAGCCUGGGUGACAUAGCAAGACCUUGUCUCAAAAAAAAAAAAGUCUCAUUUACAUUUCAAUGUUGCUCAUUCUACAGUUAUUGGUGUCCUACUUGGUGCCAGGCAGGGCACUGGGUGAGCACAGCGUAGGGAUCUUUGCACAUCUCAAGUGACAAACAUGCACUGAUACGAUCCGAAUUGCACCGUUAAUGAGCAACUGCUUCAACACUUACAAGGAAGAGCAGGAGGAGGACUGCAAAGGGCAGCCUUGUAAGGUUACACAGGUGGUGCACUGCACAAGGGGCAGCCUUGUAAGGUUACACAGGUGGGACACUGCACAGGGCAGACAUCUUAGCCUGUGUAUAGUAAAAGACCUGUGUUGUAACUAAUCAGUAUGUCACGGCUGCCUUCUGGCACAUGGAGCAAAGCAUCCUGAGGACGGGAGUGCCCCAUUUUAAUUCCCUCCUCAGGGCCAUGGGGGCCGGUAGGGCCCGAGCUGCAUUUGUUGAGUGGGAGGUUCCAGGUGACCUCAGACAAAGUCAUUCCCCUGGCGUGCGGGGCCAGAGUCCUCACGCAGCAGGUGGACUGUUCCUAGGAAGUGAGGGGGUGAGGCAGUCAUCAGGCAUCUGGGAAAGACUAGGAGGAAGGGAAGGGGUGCCCUGCAGUGGAGCAGAUGGGGGCCCAGGGAGGACCCAGGGCAGGGCGGGGGCAGGGAGGGUCCCCGUGGACCUAGUCCAGUGCAAGAGUCCCUCUGGUGCUGAGGCCAUGGCACUCAACCCUGGUCGAAUCAGGGAGGAAACGACUCUGCCAAGAGCCCGAGGUUUUUGGGGAAGGAAUCAGGGCCUCCCACUCCAGCGGGCCUCCCACUCCAGCGGGCCUCCCACUCCAGCGGGCCUCCCAGGCUGCCUUGGUGUUGCUCCCCCUGCCCUGGAUGUGUGUUCAUCCCCGCCUCCCACCCACUGGCCCCUUAGGGGCACCCCAGCUCCCUCCCACCCCAGUUCCCACCUCUGUACAAGGAGGGCCUAGGCCUGCCCAGGCGGCCCUUCCCAGGAUUCAGGCUCUCGCAGGGAAGGGGGAAGGGGAUGUGGAAGGACACGGGAGCCCUGCACGAGGGUCCUAAGGGAAGCACAGCGGUGCGGUGCCUUGUGAUGAUGGUUGUUAUUGGC
Molecule: long non-coding RNA, 1410 nt
Filed under: Homo sapiens (human)
Lineage: Eukaryota; Metazoa; Chordata; Mammalia; Primates; Hominidae
Description: non-protein coding lnc-CDC42BPB-2:1
Source: RNAcentral